This 327-nucleotide long non-coding RNA is filed under the name Fukomys damarensis (Damara mole-rat). RNAcentral describes it as "lncRNA (ENSFDAG00000022577.1)". Lineage: Eukaryota; Metazoa; Chordata; Mammalia; Rodentia; Bathyergidae. The record is from RNAcentral.
UGGGAAGUAAUAUUUGCUAAUUUUCCCAACAGGCUGGAAAUAUCGUCUGCGUGGAGGGGAUGAUCAUUAUCACCUUCAAUUAGAAGAACCGAAUCAUUAGGUUGGUUGCCUAACACCCAGCAAGACGCGAAGGACUGACUGCUUUACUACUUCUCUCGUUGAAGUCUUUAUUUCGUGCUGCCGACUUCAUCUGCAUGGAUCUCUCCUCGUGGCAGCUGUAGGAAACACAAGAACUCUGUGACCUGGAAAAUGUGGGACGACUGACACAAGAAUACAGAAGACGAAAAUUUACACAGCAGCACCAUCAAGCCAAGUAGCAGGUGAAAU